RNAcentral lists this ribosomal RNA (254 nucleotides) under uncultured bacterium. RNAcentral describes it as "partial 16S ribosomal RNA". It matches the Rfam family "Bacterial small subunit ribosomal RNA", at positions 524 to 776 of the family's 1533-position model. The record is from RNAcentral.
UACGUAGGCAGCGAGCGUUGUUCGGAAUUACUGGGCGUAAAGAGUGUGUAGGCGGUGCUCUAAGUUCGGUGUGAAAUCUCCUGGCUCAACUGGGAGGGUGCGCCGGAAACUGGAGUGCUUGAGCGUGGGAGAGGAAAGCGGAAUUCCUGGUGUAGCGGUGAAAUGCGCAGAUAUCAGGAAGAACACCCCGUGGCGAAGGCGGCUCUCUGGGACGGUACUGACGCUGAGACGCGAAAGCGUGGGGAGCGAACAGG